AGUCUCCACUCCAUAAUGGGUCAGAGAACAUAAAGAGCCCUCUGGAGAAGUGCUGGUUUGUUCUCCUUGUGUGCUACUUGUUCUUAAAUUUCCAGUGGGAUGUGCUUCUGUGUAACUGACUCCCUUGGCCCUGCAAGGCUGCUACAAGGUAUGAGGUGAGGGAAGAGCUGUGUCCCUGCUGCCUUGUUUCUUCAUAACUCAGGAAGUCUCCGCUUGAGUCAUAGCAAGCAGCUCAGAUGCAGCCCCAGAGAAUGGGCCAAUUGAGUGCAGCUCCUGCUUCCCACCUAAAUUACCGCUAGAAGUGGACAAAAAGAAAGGAAAUGAAAAGACUAAAUGUGAUCAGCUUCCGCUAUAUUUAUGAGCAGAUGCCUUUGUUAAGGACAAAUCCUAUCAAGAGGAGACAGUGUGUACUUCAACCCCCAGCUUCCACGUGGGUAUCCCUUUCAGGAGUGCAACAUACUUUUCAGAGACUUAGGAAUGGGUGGCACUUCUUUUUGUAUGUAUAAUUAUCCGUAAUCAUCCUAUCUCCAAAGUUACAUGUUACAAAACACACGAGUUCUGUUUCUAUAGAGAGAAUAACUAGAUAAUCCGAGGCGAAAAAAAGAAGUACCGUCUUUGAUGCACGUUUACUUCUGAAAUCUGCAUGCUGGCAGUAACUCAAAAACUAUAAUAAAGGAAAAAAUCUUUCUUUUCAUUUCCAUUUGCAAGGGUCAGUGAGAUGUUCUGUGUUUUGAAUGGAGCUGAAAUGAACAAUGUACAUUAUUUUUGUAACAAUAAUAUAUAUGCAGUGCGCCUUGCCUUUUUCCCUGCAUAUUGGAGCUGCUUACCUGAACUUGCAGAGCUGGCAAAAACUGUUAUAUUUUCAGAACUGUAGCUAAAGAGCAAGGAAAGAAGUAAGGGCUGUGGGGAAAAAAGAAGGAAGUUUUUAUUUAUUUAUUUAUUUUUUCCUGUGUAAACUUCUGGUGAUGCAGCAAAGAAUUUUUAAGCAGUUUCAAUAUGAGAAAUGUCUGCAAAAAGCUGCAUUUCGAGUAUCUGUGCUAUCACAAUAAUUUCUGCAUUGACUCCAUGUACUACUCAAACAAAAUCAAUGUGUGCAUACAAUAUAAAAAAAAUGAUUAACCUUGUAAAUAUAUCUUGGCAUCUGAG
Lagopus muta (rock ptarmigan) is the source of this 1146-nucleotide long non-coding RNA. RefSeq lists it as uncharacterized. The transcript is spliced from 4 exons. Lineage: Eukaryota; Metazoa; Chordata; Aves; Galliformes; Phasianidae. The record is from RefSeq and is a predicted model, not a curated record.